RNAcentral lists this long non-coding RNA (29564 nucleotides) under Sorghum bicolor (sorghum). RNAcentral's name for it is "long non-coding RNA (SBIC_LNC014104)". The stretch from base 20384 to 20490 matches the Rfam family "Plant small nucleolar RNA R71". Lineage: Eukaryota; Viridiplantae; Streptophyta; Magnoliopsida; Poales; Poaceae. The record is from RNAcentral.
GUGUUUUUGCAGAUUUUCAAAUAAAACUCAGUGAUUCCUUGUAUGACUCUCUAAAUCUCUCUUUUGUGGUAUUUCUGGAUCCUUACCAAGGCAGUGAUGGUAUAUUCCUUCUCUCAAGAUAUGUGGUAUUUGUGGUAUAAGGCAUAGUGACAUUGCCUUCUCUCUCUCACCCUACUCUAAUAAGGCUUUAAUAUCUGGAGCUCAUAGGUGGGAGAUAAAGUAUACAUACUUACAAGACAUUUAUUGUAUAGUCAAACCAUGGAUCCAAAGAAACAAAUCAAUAAGCCAAAUCAAGAUGUGCAUGUGUGGCGAAUGAAUGGUGUAUGGUGAUGAUGGUGAUAACAAUGGUGAAAGUCUAAUUCUACUUUUGCUCUUUUGAGGGGAUACAUACCUUCCUUGCUUUUUGAAACUUUAUGAGGAGAAUGAGAUGCUCUUCUUUUUCUUUCCUCUCAGGUGGGUAUCUUGUACCCCUAAUUCUACUGUCGGACACUUGUCCAUUUUUACCUCUCGUCUCACUUUUUCUUUCUUUCGAGGUUCCGGGCACUUGCCCCUUUUUAUUUCCUCGUUUUUUUUCUUUUUAGAGCACUCAUCUCUUGAGAUAAUAUAGCAAGUGGUAGUAGCAAGAUAACUUGAGCAUUUAUUUCACAAGGGAAAACAGAAAUAUUUUUGGCUAUUCUCUCCCGGAUUAGGAGUAGAAUAUUUUUGGGUGGUUCUGGAGAUGGACAUGGAUGGAUAUGUGGAUGGUACUUCCGGAGUAGAAGUAGCAGAUGUGAGUGAACGUGCAAGUGAAUCUUGAUUUAACCACAUGACAAGGUCCUAAGGGUCUACACAGCUUGACCACACUCAAUGCUCAUAAGCAGUAAAUAAUAAAUGUGUGGCUCAAAGUCUAGCAAGCAUGUAUAUAUGGCUGUGGUAGGAAUUUAAACUCUCAUCAUACAGGAACUCAUCAUGCAAUAUUUUAAAGAUUUUUCAAAGAUAAAAUUCUCUAGAAUUCUAGCAUCUCUAGGAACAGAUAAACAGCAGCUCAACCUUCCCAUAUCAUAUCCGUUAACAACAUAGACUUCAGAUCAAGUUUUCAUCCCACAAGUCUAGAUCUAGAGCAAGCUUUAAAUUAUAACAGUUAUGUCUAAACUUGAGAGAGAACUUCAAAUUUGCAAAUUAGGCAGAGCAACUAUUCAUCAUAUCCAUGCUAGAGUUUUAUUAUUAAGAUUCAGAUUAGCAUAGCCACUUUAUUUAUUUAUUAAACACACUAAGCAAAAGAUAUAUAUAAGCACAAAAUCUUUAUUUGGUUUUUCAUAGUUUAUGUAUUUUAAUAUUCUAAUAUAAUAUAAGUAUAAAGAUAGGUAGAAAUACUUAGCGAGAUAAAUGGGGGUGCUCUCCCCCAAGCUGAAUUUUGACGUAAUUUCUCUUGAUGUAGCUAGCAGGUGGCAGAGGUGUAUUUGAAAGUCAGCAGCAUUCUAACAGCGAUUAGAAUGUCCUCCGUCUGCUAGUCUUCUUGAUUCUUAAAUUCUGUGGAGCUCAAAUGGACAACAAAGCUUGUGGAACUAAUUAAGUGUUAGCAUAAAUAUCUAGCCUUCAUCAUGUUGAGCUUCCUCAAUAAAUAUUACUCCCUGUUUUUAUAUUUUUAUUUUAUAAAGCAGAAAAGAAAUAUUUAUUUUAUUUUUAUGCCACCACAGUGAAGGUACUUAUGGGUUUUAUGCCACUCGUAUACUCACAUGGGGCUUAGUAUUUUCUAACAUUUUUAUUUUCUUUUGAAGAUAGCAUGAUUAACUAAUAAUCUAUUGAAGGAAAGUAAAUAAUUAAAGGGAAAAGGGAAUGCAGAGAGGAUAAAUAUGGAUAACUACCGAUCUUACCUUUCGGCGAGGGUUCAAUGUUUUAAGUCUUCUUAACAAGACUUCUCACCGUGUUCAUUCUUCAGAUGCAUCAUUUGAUUCAGUGCGGACCUUGACGUUUGCACCUCUUCGUUUGCCCAGCAGUUCGAAGUGCGGCGUUGGCAGUAUCCUGCUCAGUGUGUUUGUGCUCGUAGAUCCAGGUCCUUCACUUGGUAGAGUCUGAGAGUUAUAAAACUCCUCCGUGUUUUGCUCAAAGUGUACCUGCUCAUAGAGACAAGGCAGAGAUCAGGUACAUGGGUCCUGUUGGUGGAAAACACCAACAGAACCUAAAGUGUAUUUGUUCUUCUCUUACCCUAAGCAUAGUGAGCAAGACAAAGUUGAUGGAUGAAAUGUUCAUGAGUGUAGCACUUAUAACAUUUGUCAGAUCAGAUCGCUCAACCUUAUGGAAAGAUAAUCUAUCUAUGUAUAUGUCUUUUUCUUUAUAUCUCUCAAUGAUUGAAUUUGUAAUAUUUUAGCUCAUAUGAUUAGGAGUGUGGGAUCAAGGAGGUAGUACUAAGAACAAGGAUUAAAGGACUAAAUAUGUUGAAUCAGUUGGGUUGGUUAAUCUAGAGUUGUAAAUCAUACAUGUUUGUCCCUUUUAUUUAUAUGAACGCCAGAACCAAGGAGAGGCUUAUAAAAGUGAUAGUCAAGUACCUUAAGAUGUUACCUUGCUUGAAGAGUGAUGGUACAGUAUCACCUUGUGGAAGCUUUCCUUCCUUAGCGGUUGUGCAUCGUGUUUGUGGCACCCUCCAUGGAUCGUCUCUCUAUGAUGAAUGAGCUAUGUCCUUCUUGUGCAAAUUGUUAAACUUCAUGUGUCACUCUCUUCGUCUCUGAUGUGAGUUUAUCUCAAGACUUCCCAAAUUGAUAUUGAAAGUUUUUCUAUAGGGGUUAGUCCGACAAAAAUAUACCAAUGUCUACACAAGCAGUUUUUAGUUCAAUAACUGAACUAGACUCCAUGUCUAAUCAGAUUAAGGAAGGCUGUUUAACCUAAGCACCAUGCUUAAUUUAAAAGCCAAUAGAAGUAUGUGCAGUACUUCCAAACUAACACUUACUAGUAAAUAGACAAAGGUAACAUGACAGCAUUUAUAUAGAUCUACUCAAGUGGAGAUGAAGUAGUGUGAUUAGUAUUUAACAAAUUGAGCAUGUCUUAAAGGUAGGGACAACCAACAUAGCAACAUGGCAAAGGAUGUUUUUAUGUAAAGUACUCCCCCAAGCUUGAAUUUUGCAGAAUUCAAGUUUGGAUGAAUUUAAUUCAGUGUUGCAUGAUGAUUGGUUAAGGACAUACCUUGUACUUGCUUGUCAUUCAUCGGAUCUUCUUGUUCCUAUCCUGGAAAGGUUAGUGACAAGAAUACCCGAAGGAAUAUUUUUACAAUUAUCCUUAUAUGCUCAAUACACAAGGUAAUGUUGCAAAUAAAAAACUCAUGUUACGAUCUGAUCAGUGCUUAUUUUAGGACACCAAGCUUGUCCUUGGGAAACCAUCAAUUUAUGUCAGCGAAGUGGUUUCCCUUCCAAUGCUGACCUAAAUCAAGAUCAACUCAACGAGAUCUGCAAUAUUUAUUAUAGACAUAUGCAUCGACAACCGCCCUUUUAAAGUUUUUAUAAAUAGAAAAGAAGAGGGGGUUGGAGAUCUCAAAUAUGGUGAUGUCAGAGAGACCAAUAGAUUGGGAAGAUGUUGCAUAUGAGCAUGGAGUAAACAAAGUGGCUAUGAAAUAAAUUCCAUGCUCAUUAAUGUUAUCUUCGUCUCCAAUCUGAAUGUUCAGAGUUUCUCUUGGAUUGGUCUCACUUAUGUCCUCUUCUAUAGUUGGAUGAAUCCCAUCUUCAAAGAGAGUCAAGAACUCACCAUUUGAAAUUGAACCAAAGUCAGAAUUCAUUAAGGCUUCUUCCUUAUCCAUCCAUUCCACACAUUCUAGCCAUUUAGAACUUGUGAUCAGGAAAGGGGAGGUGUUAGAAUUUUCAAUAUGGCUUAGCUCUCCUUCACAUGAUAUGUCAUCCUCGACUUCUUCAUAACAGGAACCAGGACAUUCUCUAAGAGAACCAUUAUUGCGAGGAUUUGAAUUAUCCCUGCUUGAAGGUCUCUUAUGGAACUAGAAGUCUAAACCAUCAGCAUCUGAAAGAUUUAAGGUCGGAAUUCCUUCCUCCCUUGGAGAAUUUUGGGGUAUUGAUGGUUUAGGAUCGAUAGCUAAAGUUUGGAAUUGAAGUGGUUGUGAUCUGGCUAUCGAAACUUCUUCUUCUUGUCUAGGAACUCGUUCUGUCUCUUUCUCAGGGAUAUAAAAGCUAGGAGACUUUCCACUUAAUAAAUCAAUCAAAUUCCAAGCUUCACUAGCAGGUAAUAAAUCAAUCAAACUCGUUCUGUCUCUUCCUCUAGAGGCUGUAUUCAAGGUUUGCUUAUUUUCCCCACUAAGGCCCUCAAAAAAGUGAAUUAGAAGAACUUCUUCUGGAAUAGAAUGCUUUGUGCCAGUGAGAGUAAGGUUAAUAAAACGGUCCCAUGAUUUCCUAAGAGAUUCUUCUUUCAGUUGUCUAAAAGAAAUAAUCUCACGCCGAAGUUCCGCCACUUUGGAGAUUGGAAAAUAUUUAGAAAGAAAACUACUAUAUAACUCCUUCCAAUCUCCAUGAACACUCCCUAUUUUGAGUUUGUACCAAUGUCUAGCUUUCCCCGUUAAAGAGAAUGGAAAGAGCUUCCAUUUAAGGGUCUCAUCGGACAUUCCUUCUAUGCGAAGGAGGUCACAGACUCGAUAAAACACUCUUAGGUGUGUGUAUGGGUUUUCCUCACCUUCUCCUGAGAAAGGUUGUUUUUGAACAAAUUCUAUGUAUUCGGGGUUUAUCUCAAAACUAGAUGCUAUGAUAGGCUUUGAAGAUUUUGGUGGUUUGAGAUGUGUGCCCGUAGGUCUAUGAAAAUCAUAGAUAGACAUGUUUGAAUUCAUGAUAGACCAGAGAUCAAGGAUUAGAUAAGAAGAAAGAUUAGCAGAGAUGAGGCAAAGGAUAAAAGGAAUAUAUAUAUAUAUAUAUAUAUAUAUAUAUAUAUAUAUAUAUAUAUAUAGAAAAGGAUUAAGCUAGUUCGUAGUCGAUUCAGCAACCGUUUCCCCGGCAACGGCGCCAAAAAUGCUUGUUGACACUUACUAACACCACUUGAAUACUAGGUUGUCAUCCCUAGCAUGGCACUAGAGUGUACUAUGGUAUUUAUACACACACAGAUAAUCCACAAGCGCACGGAUACCGUUGAAGCUUUUACCCGGUUAAAGGUUUUAUCGUAUCCACAGGGAAACGGGAGAACCACCUACGCUCUAACUUAACCAAGAUAGAUAAGUAAGUGUAAGUAGGAAAGAUGGUAGAAUUAAAUAAGAACAAUAUUAAAGGUAAGAUAACAAUGGGUGAUAAUAUGAGAAUAGAGAGUAGAGCAAUCUAGUAUAUGGGUGAUGAUAGCAGAAUAGAGAGAAUAACUAUGGUUUCUCUACUUCAAAGGGGUAUGUCUAUGUCUGGGACGAACCACGUGAUAAGAGUACACCACAAAGGAUGCUUAUCCUUAGGCCGAUAAACCCUACCCGUCCUGCUAACGAGAGGUGGACUACAGAGGACCAACGUAACUGUCACCUACGCGGCCUACCACACGAUCUGGCUAGACAGGAGAUAUCCACAAGUAAUCUAGAUCUAAGCACCUCGCUUACACCUAUACUACAACUCUCACCUAUAGCGUCCUAUAGAUUAGAAUACUCAAAAGAGUUGUGAACCAGAACAUACAUAAUUAGUAAUUGCAUAAUAAAUUAGAAGUAGAUUACCAGAGUCAUCCCAUGAGCAAGCUUGAUUAGAGCUUGAUCAUGACGAAGUACAACCGGAGGAAGAACCGACAGGCCGGCCUCUCCUCCAAUCCUCCCUCGCUCUCCAUCUUGCUACUAUCUAGAUCUACACUAGUUUAGAGAAGAGAGGAGAGCUCUCAUCUCUAAACCCUAGCUUUUGCUCUCUCUAUGAAUAAUGAAUAAUGAUCAAGGGGUGCCUCCUCCAGGGGCCAGGGGGUCUGGUUAUAUAGUCCCCUCAAGUGAACCUGGGCCGUCGGAUCAAACCGACAUUGAUUGAACAGUUAUUCUUGAUCCUUUAGGUCGGUGGAGAUCUCUCGAGAGAAAGAGUCGUGAUUGGGCUCCAAGUCAGGGCGGGCACCCAGGGCAGGAGGGCGGGCGCCCUGCCUCUGGCCCCGUUCGGCCUCCGCUUCCUUCCCGUGGCUUCUGGAUGCUUCUAGAUGUAAGAUAAUUGCGCGGCACAUUAAUAUCUCUAUGUAAUCCCGACGUGUGGGCCUUUAUUCCGUAUUUCCUGAUAACCCCUUGUAGAAAUAGACAAACACCAAAACUCAUGGAAUUCUGUUAGAUAAAACCCUAAGUCUAGAUGUUGAUUUCAUUUGGAUCCUUUUCUUUGUUUAUUUGAUAAUUAAAUUUGAUACUUAAGGACCGUCAACAAUGGUGGGCCUGCUAUCAAUAUCAUGUCAUAUGCAGUAUAUCGGAAGCUUGGCAAAGGAGAUCAGGAUUUGACCAAGACUGAUAUGAUGUUAAAGGAGUUUGAAGGAAAUGUGUCUCUAGUCAAGGGAGCCAUAUGUGUUGAGUUAACCGUCGGCAGCAAAACCAUGCCGACAACUUUCUUUGUCAUUAGUGGAAAGGGUGCUUAUAAUUUGCUGUUAGGGAGAGAUUGGAUUCAUGCCAAUUGUUGGAUCCCAUCUAUAAUGCACCAAUGCUUGGUUCAGUGGGUAGGUGACAAGAUUGAAAUUGUCCCAGGGGAUUCUUCAUUUGUCAUUGCAUCGGCAGAAGCAGAUACUUAUGAAAGGACCAGAUGCAUUUCAGGAGAGAUUUGGGAGAAGGAUUUUCUCAAAGUCGCCGAUUAUGAAAUUCCACCGAUCCAAGCAGUCGGUUCUCACGAGGAGUUUUAGUGGAUAGGUUCGCCGAUGAUGGAAAAUUAGGCCAGGGGUUUACAUCGGUCAAUGAUUUAGUAGAAGUAGAUAUAGGUAAUUGUAAGUGCAAUAAAGCCCAUUGUGGGUUUUGGUGUUGAUGACCACUGAAUUAGGGAACUAAUGAUCUUUAGUGAGAUGACAAGCAGGGAACUAAGAAUGGAGGAUGUUAAACAGUUUGAUGGGUCACCGAUCCAAUUUGAAAAGGCUUUUCAAAGAGAUCUCAUGGAAGUUUUAUCUUUGUUUCUAUUUAUUCCUUGAGUAUAGGAAAAGCCGUACUAUCAAGAGGGACUCCAGGUUUGUUGAUCAAAUGUCGAACGAAAUGCUCAAAUCUUCUGUUUCAUUCUCAACCCUCACUCCAAUCAGUCGUGCUCUCUCUGUGUUUUCCUGACUGGUUUGACUAGGACGGCAGUGCCGCCCUCCUUCUAGCUGUUGGAAUACAGGGGUAUAUAUACCCUUCCUACUUGACCACAAUGGUCAUCUGAGCCAUUCACUUCGUCUUCCUUCGUCCUAACCAUUACAGAACACCAGUGCUCACAUCUCUCUCUCUUCCAUUGUUGCAUCUCAAGCUCUCAAGCAAAUCCAUCAUUCCAACCAUCAUUUCUUGAGAGAAAGGGUUGCAAACUUUGAUUAGAGAGCAGAUCCAUUGUUUCCCAAAGUCUAAGAGCAUUUGGUUCACGUUUGGUCGGCAUCCCUAGAGUUUGUUACUCUUGGAGCUUGCUCCUAGCUGGCUAGGCAUCGCCCUAGAGCUUGCCAAACUUGUGUGGUAGCCAAGGGAAGUCUGUAACCUCGACUUGAAGCUAAGAAAUCACCCCUUUCUCAAGAGGUAACACUCUUGUUGAAGAACGACGGAAGGACAAGCCUUUGUGGCAAGUCGUUCCUAGUGUGGGCACCUCAACAACGUGGAGUAAGUGCAGCCUUGUGUGGCGACCACUGAACCACGGGGUAAAUCUUUGUCUGCUAUUUAUGUUCUUAUUUACUUGUGUUCUUGAGUUGUUCUAGGGUUUGAGCUCGAUCUACUAUGCAACAUAUCUUCUGCAGGUUUGUGUGUUGGUUCUAGUGCUUACUAACUUGCAGGGAGCUGGGAAAUUUAUCUGAUCUAAGUUUCCCAAAGUCUUUCUUGUUUAGUUCUUUAGCUUUCUAUUAAGAGGCCGGCAGUGCCGCCCUGUCGUGUGAAUCUGAAAGCAAGUGAAGUUUUUUAGUUGACAGGCCUAUUCACCCCCUCUAGGCCAUCCUAGACUGCCAGAGAUCCUACAGUAAUGGUGAUAGGCCAAGGCCUACUUUUAUUAGUGCUAAGUUUGAUUCUGAGUGUAAGCAAUAGUUAACCGAUUUAUUAAAGGAAUAUAAAGAUUGCUUUGCUUGGGAUUAUACCGAGAUGCCUGGUUUAGACCGAUCUAUUGCUGAACAUCGGUUGCCUAUCAAGUCUGGGUUUCAGCCGCAUCAGCAGCCAGCGCGCUGAUGCAAUCCUAAUAUUCUUCCUGAUAUUAAGGCCGAAAUAACUAAACUUAUUGAAGCUAAAUUUAUUCGGCAAUGUCGAUAUGCCGAAUGGAUUUCCAAUGUUGUUUCAGUGUAUAAGAAGAAUGGAAAACUUUGUGUCUUUAUUGAUUUUAGGAAUCUCAAUAAAGCCACGCCGAUGGAUGGUUAUCCGAUGCCAGUUGCCGAUCUAUUAGUUGAUGCUGCGGCCGGGCAUCGGAUUAUUAGCUUUAUGGAUGGUAAUGCAGGUUACAAUCAGAUAUUCAUGGCUGAAGAAGAUAUUCCCAAGAGUGCAUUUAGAUGUUCGGGUCAUGUUGGAUUGUUUGAAUGGAUAGUCAUGACCUUCGGCUUGAAAAAUGCUGGUGCUACUUAUGAGAGGGCUAUGAAUUUUAUUUUCCACGAGUUCAUCGACAAGAUAGUUGAGAUCUAUAUUGAUGACGUGGUGGUUAAGUCUGGGGAUUUUGCAAAGCAUCUUGCCGAUCUACGAAAAGUGCUGGAGUGCACAAGGAAGCAUGGUUUAAAAAUGAAUCCUAAUAAAUGUGCGUUUGGUGUAUCGGCAAGACAAUUUCUUAGUUUCAUGGUGCAUCAAAGAGGGAUUGAAAUUAGUAGGAGAUCUAUUGAUGCUAUCAACAAGAUAGUUGCUCCCACCAAUAAGGCUAAACUUCAAUCACUGAUCAGCAAGAUAAAUUUCAUCAGACGAUUUAUAUCUAAUUUGUCUGGUAAAAUUCGUUCUUUUAGUCCUUUACUUAAGUUGAAGGCCGAUGAGGAAUUUGUAUGGGGAGAAGAGCAACAGUUAGCCUUAGACGAGAUCAAGAAUUAUUUGUCAAAUCCUCCAGUUUUGGUUCCACCACAGCAAGGGAAACCCUUCAGGUUAUUUAUCUACCGAUGGCGCGGUCAUUGGUUCACCCCUCAUUCAAGAAUUUGAAGGGAAGGAACGUGUGAUUUAUUAUCUAAGUAGGAGAUUGGUGGAUGCUGAGACAAUGUAUUCGGCAAUUGAGAAAUUGUGUUUAUGUGUAUACUUCUCCUGUGUCAAAUUAAGACAUUACUUGCCAUCGGCCGAAUGCACUAUUAUAUACAAAGAAGAUGUGGUCCGGUACAUGCUAUCUAUGCCGAUUAUGAGCGGUAGAAUCUGCAAAUGGAUUGUGGCGUUGCCGGAAUUUGAUUUACGUUAUGAAUCGGUUAAGGCAGUUAAAUGGCAGAUUAUGGCUGAUUUUGUAACUCAACAUUGUGGUGUAGUGAAUGCCUUGGAAAUUGUUCCUUGGACACUCUUCUUUGAUGGAUCAACAUGUGACCGGGGGGCAAGAGUUGGCAUAGUACUAAUUUCUCCUCAAGGAAAGAAGUAUGAGUUUUCUUUGCCGAUUGUUGCCACGUCGACAAAUAAUCAAGCUGAGUACCAAGCUCUAAUCAAGGGGUUGGAAUUGUUGAAGGAGGUUCAUGCCGAUGCUGUUGAGAUCUUCGGCGAUUCUAUGCUUGUUAUAAAUCAAUUGGCUGGAAUUUAUGAAUGCCGAAGUGAAGUUUUGAUAACCUAUUAUGAAAAGAGCAUACAACUGUUGAGGAAAUUCAAGGAUUUCCGAUUGGAGUAUGCCUCAAUUGCAUAAUGAAGAGGCUAAUCGGUUGGCUCAACAAGCCUUGGGAUAAUAACCCAUCUCAAAUAUGUUAUCGACAGUCAGUGCCGAUGAUAGGAGAAAAGAAAUUAUUGACUAUUUAAAAGAUCCAGCUAAAAAGGUUGAAAGGCGUGUCAGGUUUCAAGCUACCAAGUAUGUACUCCUUGGAGAAGAGUUAUAUUAUCGAACAUUAGAUGGAAUUUUGCUUAAAUGUUUGAGUAAUGAUGAGGCUAGAAGCUUGAUUGGUAAGAUCCAUGAAGGAGUGUGUGGAGCACAUCAGUCGGCUUAUAAGAUGAAGUGGAUGAUUAGGAGAAACGGAUAUUAUUGGCUGACUAUACUUGAGGAUUGCUUUAAUUAUUUCAAAGGAUGUCAAGGAUGUCAGAAGUUUGGCAAUAUUCAAAGGGCACCCGCAUGGGCCAUGAAUCCUAUUAUUAAGCCUUGGUCGUUCCGGGGAUGGGCUAUUGAUCUAAUCGGCCAGAUUUAUCCGCCAUCAAGUAAAGGGCGUAAGUUCAUCUUAGUUGCUACUGACUAUUUUACUAAAUGGGUUGAAGCUAUUCCUUUGAAGAAAGUGACAUCGGCUAACACGAUUGAUUUUGUAAAGGAGCACAUUGUUUACUGAUUUGGUAUUCCUCAAACAAUAACUACCGAUCAGGGUACCAUGUUCACAUCGGGAGAGUUUGAUGAAUUUGCAAUCGGUAUGGGGAUUAAAGUGUUGAAUUCUUAUCCUUAUUAUGCUCAAGCCAAUGGACAUGCCGAAGCAUCUAACAAAGGGAUUAUUAAGCGUCUAACGUUGUUAAAUGAAGCUUUGUGGUCAUAUCAGAUGGCAUGUCAUGGAUCAACUAAAGUUUCACCUUAUCAGUUGGUGUAUGGGCACGAUGUGGUGUUGCCAUGGGAGAUUAAGACUGGAUCUAGGCGGGUCUCUUUUCAAGAUCAAUUGGCUACUGAUGACUAUGCAACUUUUAUGAAAGAUGAAUUGGAUGAUUUGGCAGAGCAUCGGUUGAGAGCUUUGAUGAGUAUAGAAGAGAAUAAAAAGAGAGUUGCUAGAUGGUAUGAUAAAAAAGUAAAAGCUAAGGGGUUUGCCGCUGGAGAUUUGGUAUGGAAAUUAAUUUUACCGAUUGGGACUAAAAGUUCAAAGUUUGGAAAAUGGUCUCCUAAUUGGGAAGGUCCUUACUGGAUAACUCAGUCUGCUCCUGGUAAUGCUUAUAUUUUAGAAACUCUCGAAGGAGUUGAAUUUCCCAGAGUGUUAAAUGGAAAAUAUCUAAAGAAAUAUUACCCAAGCAUCUAGGUUGAUGCAUAGAAGUUUAAGUGCCGACAACACUCCUAUCGGCUGGACGAAAGGUAUCUGAGAUCGUGAUGUUUUAAGAAGUGCCGAUAACAGUCCUAUCGGCUAGACCAGAGUGAUCAAAAGUUUCUAAGGGCAGAACGAAACAAGUUGAUGAAGAGCUCACAGAUUUAGCAGAGCUUGGAUAGUGGGUAUGGUGCACAGACGGAUCUGGUUGGCUUCUUCUAUCUCCCAGAUAUCCUCAUCGGCAGAACCUUCUACUGGCUUCAGUUUCUUCUUCAUCUGCAGUGCUGUACGGGCUUCGAUGUUUCGUUCUUGUUGGAAAAUCUUGAGCUUCUCAUGUAGCUGGCUUUCUUCUUGUUGAGCUUGGGUCAGGGCCUAUUCUACUUGCUUGAGCUCAACUAGUAAGGCUUCCCUUCUUGCCGAUAAGACAGAGAUCUUCUGCUUUUGCUCAUCCCUGGAGGACUGCAGAAUCACUACAAGAAAUACCCUUAUACAUGACAUUUUAUUUUCGUCAUAGACAAGCGAAAACGCGUCACACUUAACUCACCAUGACGAUUGCAAAAACCGUCAUGUAUCCCACGUCAUACAUUUACUAGACUAAGAUAAGCCAUCAUAGAUUUGUAUUUGUGAUCAUCAUGAAAUCCCUAAAAGCCCAUGCAGCCCAGGCUAGGCCCGCUAGGGUGUGAUGAAAUAGACCGUCAUAACCAUCUGCCAUGUAGAAUGUUUUUCGUCACUGAUUUGAGUUGCCAUGUAAGCGCCAUUUGUUCACCAAAAUUGACCAUCACAAAUUAUAUAAUGAAAAUCACAUAAAGCCCAAUGAUUUGAUUAAGUCAUAGUACAUUAACACAACAUGUUCUGAUCAUCAUAAAACUUAAGGAAACACAAAAAUAUGUCAUUGUCAACCUUCACAUCUAUUACAAUAGCAUUAUGGACACCCUACUCAUAAGCUUGAAUAUUUUUUCUGUAUAGUGGCACUCCUUCAAAAGAUCCAUUGCACUAGGUUCCUAGUCUUUAUACUUGUCUCCCUGAAAAUACACAUGUGCACAGAUUAACUCAAAUGUAUGCAAAGUAAAUCGUAGGCAAGGAACAAGGCGUCUAAGUCAUGUACAAUAAGAAUGGAAAAGGAACAACCAUAUAUUCAACUGUGCUAAACAAUGACCUAUACAAUUCCAUAUGCCAUGGGCAUAUCCUAGUUUUAAGUUCAAUGAUAACAAAUAUUUCAGACAUAUAUGUCUAUAUCACUUAAUAUAACUCAGCCUAGUGCUAAACAAAACUAGAUAGUGAAUCUACCAGCUUAUGUUCAUCACAGGCUUUCUAAAACACAGAUAGUGAAUCUACUAAAAGGAUUAAUCCAGGAAACUGAAAAUCACCAUUUCAAACAGAGUAUAUUAUAAUAGCAUUCUGGACAGUCGAACACUCCUUCAAAAAUCCAUUGCAUCAGGUUCCUAGUCUUUCUACUUGUCUCCCUGAAAAUUACGCAUAUGCAGGCAAAUUGCAUUGAGUGUAUGAGCAGAGAAAGAGGAUUUUUCUAUUUAACACUACAUCAUUAGACUACUGCAAUUUAGAAACUUUUAUAGAUUCAAUGACUGUGUUUUAGACUAGUUUGGGAAAGGAUUCCAUUCCUAUAUUUUAGACUAGUUGCGGCUCUAAAUUGCUGACAACCACAAUGACAAUAUGUGCAAGUUACCGACAUUGCAAAACUGAGUGAUCCUCUAUUUGACAGUCACUAUUUAUUUGUUCCAAGUUUUCAGAUAUGUUCAACGUAAUUUAGAACUAAUUUAGCUAAGAACAGAGACAGAAUCCAACCAUGGUGUUAAGAUUGUCAAGUUUCUGGAUUGCCUCCUGAAUAUUACUCGACCAUACUGCCCUCUUAAUCUCCAUUCGUUCCAUUAUGGUUGCUACGUCAAUCUCUGCUGCAAAAAAAAAAAAUCCACAAAUCCACAAAGAGUUCAACAGCAGAGGAUAGAAAGGGCUACCUCCUAGAUCCGCAUCUGGUGGAGGGGGCAUAGCUCAAGCUCCAUAACCAGGGGCUGGGAGGCACCAUCGCAGAGGGGUAAAGGCCCGAGCUUCUCAUCUGAUGGAGCGAAGAUGGAUGGGGAGCCGCUAUGGAGCUUGAGCUAUGCAACCGGAGUGGGACCGAAGCGCCGCAUCUGGUGGAGGAGAAGGAUCUUGAGCUCUACAGCCAAAGGAGACGGGAGUUGCCAUUGCCGGAGGGGGCCGCCGCUGGAGGCCUCCAGAUGCCGCAUCUGUGGUGGAGGGAAGCUAGAGGGUGCGGCAGUGGUGGUGGCCGCGCCAAUGUGCUGAUGAGAGAGAGCCCGAACUAGGAAACCCUAACUCCCUAAGUUGUUGUAUAUAUACUCGAUACAUAUAAUGGGCCGGUUGUGGAUGUCCAAACGAGCCCAUAGAUGAUCCAUGAUGUUUUCUACAUACGUCACCCAAAAACCAUCAUGUAAAGGCAAAUUUUUUGUAGUGAAUGCCGAUGCUCUUGUGCUUCUCAUCGACAAUACACGUUACUUGCAUCACUUCUUCUGUGAGUUGGGCGUUAGCGGCUCUAUCGGCAAGACGCUGAGUAGCCUUCUAGUAUUGGAGCUGGCGACUCUCCAAGUGUGCAGCCUGAAAUAGAGUUUCUUCUACAUCAGCUGGGAUCUGGCCUCGAAGGGUCUUAAACAAAGCUUUGGCUGAGUUAGAAUCAUCGACAGUUGAGCGGUAUCUUGAUGUAGCAGAGCCAACAGGUCCUCCAGUUUAGCUUUGAUUUCUGCUGAUGAGAUCCCCACUGCUUGAGAAGAGCUUGCUUCUUCACCCUCAUCGUCGGAUAUGUCGAUGGCAAAGGAGAAUAAGCUGUCUGGAGAAUCCUGUUCCUGAGAAGGGAAUAGAGAUAAGAUAUUUGAUAAUCAAAUGCUGAUAAUAAAGGCUGGAGAUCAGAAACUUACUUGCUUCAGAGCAAUUUCGCGCCUUUGAUAAGGGGACGCGGCCUGUACUAUAGGUUGAUCGGCUGGAGUUGCCGAUGGAACAAUGUCAGCUGAGAAAUUACAAGAAUAAUUAUAAUUUGUAAAGAUAAAUCCAUCGGUGAUAAUUCUAUGGUCAGUACUUUACCUUGAGGAGGUGCAAUGCUUGUUUGCUCUGGCGGAACAACCGAUGAUAUGAUCAGAUCAACUGUAUCGAUAGUUUGCUCAUGUACUUCGGCUGGUGCUUCUUGUGGCUGAGGUGCUGGUUGAGGAGGGGACGAAACUUGCUGUGUGUGGAUUUCUAGUGAAGAAGGUGAUGAUUCUACAUGUAUCGGUGACACUAGCUGAGGAGGAGGAGAUGGUGCUGUCCUCUGGCGCUUUGACUGUUACUUGGUGCUCUUGGGGCCUUUUCUCUUUACUUGGCUAGGCUGGGGGGCAUCAGCACUGUUGGGUAUUCUUAACUUCAUUACUAAAAGUAGACUAAGUUCUCUAAAUCUAGUAACGGUGCCAAAAAUGCCAAACCUAUCCCUCACACCACUUAAGCCAAGUUGUCAUCCCCAGCAUGACAUGAGAGACGCGCUAUUGAAAUAUGCAAUUGCUCUUCUAAAUAAAUAAUGAAUGGGAUCUGCAAGCGCACAGAUUAAUACCGAUGCAGCAUUUUAACCGGGAAGUAUUCCAGGUAUCGUUAUUUAUAUUUUUACCACUGGGAAGGGAUUAGAAAUCAUCACUAAUGAUUACAGAAUAGAAUAUGAGAUUGAGCAUCUAUCAUUGCAUGUAUAAUUGAGAACAUUAUAUCUAACUCUUCAUACAGCGAUAAGUGUCACAUAAAAGAUAUAUGAAGUAAUAAUAGUGACAAGGAUAACUAAUCUGAUCUAGCCACAUAAUAAAUAUGAUAAGCACCUCAAUUAGAUACUCUAGAAAGUCAUUAGCAUGGUAUUAGAACGAACUACAAGAAUAUUCCCUAAGUUAUUCUUAACUAUAUAGUCUAGCAUUAUCAUAGUUAGUGCAAGCAUACUUAGCAAUCAUUGCGAGACAAGCCUACGCCCAUGCAUAGUGAUAUUAGCAAGGAAUAUGAGAAACAUAGCAAUCACUCCCCUGUAAUAAUGUUGCUCUGCCAGCCCAAUACACGAGAGGGGGACUAUAUAAGAAUCAAUGAAGUUGUCACUAUCACGAACCACCCCACGAUGUGGCAUAUUGGGUACAAUCGCAGAUAAAUACGGUAUAAGCACCACGCCUACACAAUAUCUAUCAUUUACCCAUGGAUCCGAUGGAUAAACGCUAUACGAUCCUAAGCAUGUAUAUAGAUCGUAUCUAACUAAGCCAAGUACAUAACUAUGAUAAACUAAGAACAAUAUAAUCUUGAAUAUAAGCAAGUAGAGCAAAGUCAUAAGCAAUAUAUUGAAGUAGAACAAAGUCAUAUUCAUAAUAUUGAAGAACAAAGAUAAUUAGAAAGCAAUUAGAAGCACAAUUAGAGAAUUACCAAGAAUCCUCCUGACAGAUCCGGAAACCAAUCGAAGAUUGACUCCUUCUAGUUCUAACCUAUGUAGCUAUGCUAUCUAGAUGUCUAAUUGAUGUGGUGGCUCUAAUCUUGAUCAGAGGCUUCUUCUCCCUUGAUGGAACAAUGAAUUAGGGUUGAGAGGCUCUCUCCUCCAGGGGCCAGGGGGUCUGGUUUUAUAGUCCCUUCAAGUGAAUAUGGGCCCUUGGAUCAAACCGACAUAGAUUGUAUGGUUUAGAUUCAUCCUUUAGGUCGGUGGAGAUCUCCCGCAAAGCAGAGUCCUGAUUGGACUCAGGGGCAGGGCGGGCGCCCUGACCAACUGGGCGGCCGCCUAGGGUCUGGCCCCGUUUCGCCUCCGCUUCGGUCUCGUGGCUUCUGGAGUCUUCUAGAUGUAAGAUAAUUGCGCAGCACGUUAAUAUCUUUACGUAAUCCCGACAUGUGGGCCUUUCUUCCAUAUUUCCUGAUAACCCCCUGCAUAAAUAGACAAACACCAGAACUCGUGGAAUUCUGUCAGAUAAAACCCUAAGUCUAGAUCUUGAUUUCAUUUGGAUCCUUUUCUUUAUUUAUUUGAUAAUUGAAUUUGAUACUUAAGGACCGUCAACAAACUCCCCCAAGCUUACCUCUUGCUCGUCCCUGAGCAAAGAUAGACUCAGCUAUGGAUCAUAAGUUGUUGCAAUAUUUUUUUAAAAAUUUGACGGUACACAUGCUUUUAAAUAAGAUCUCAUCUCUGAGUUAGAGUAAACUGUCAAGACUUAAAACUUACUUACUUUACCUACACCAUGGGACUUGUAACUGUCACUUCUAUCUUGAGUGGUUAAAAGAUAGAACACUCUAGCCAAGUGCCAUGUCUCUUAUUCUUGAUCAGCUAUAGCUUUGGGGUUUUUGCAGAUUUUCAAAUAAACCUCAGAAAUUCCUUAUAUGAUUCUCUCAGGUCUCUCUUUUGUGGUAUUUUUGGAUCCUUGCCAAGGCAUUGAUGGUAUAUGCCUUCUCUCAAGAUAUGUAGUAUUUGUGGUAUAAGGCAUAGUGACAUUGCCUUCUCUCUCACCCUACUCUAAUAAGGCUUUAAUAUCUGGAGCUCAUAGGUGGGAGAUAAAAUAUACAUACUUACAAGACAUUUAUUGCAUAGUCAAACCAUGGAUCCAAAGUAACAAGCCAAUAAGAUUAAUCAAGAUGUGCAUGGGUGGCGAAUGAAUGGUGUAUGGUGGUGAUGGUGAUAACAAUGGUGAAAACAAUGGUGGUGGAAGUCUAAUUCUACUUUGCUCUUUGAGGGAAUACAUACCUUCCUUGCUAUUGAAACUUUAUGAGGUGAAUGAGAUGCUCUUCUUUUUUUUCAGGUGGGUAUCUUGCACCCCUAAUUCUACUGUCGGACACUUGUCCAUUUUUACCUUUCGUCUCACUUUUUCUUUUCUUUCGAGGUUCCGAGCACUUGCUCCUUUUUAUUUCCUCGUAUAUUUUUUUUUAUUUUUUUUAGAGCACUCAUCUCUUGAGAUAAUAUAGCAAGUGGUAGUAACAAGAUAACUUGAGCAUUUAUUUCACAAGGGGAAAAUAGAAAUAUUUUUGGUUAUUCUCUCCCGGAUUAGGAGUAGAAUAUUUUUGGGUGAUUCUGGAGAUGGAAUGGGUGGAUAUAUGUGGAUGGUACUUCCGGAGUAGAAGUAGCAUAUAUGAGUGAACGUGUAAGUGAAUCUUGAUUUAACCACAUGACAAGCUCCUAAGGUUCUACACAGCUUGACCACACUCAAUGCUCAUAAGCAGUAAAUAUUAAAUGUGUGGCUCAAAGUCUAGCAAGCAUGUAUAAAUGGCUGUGGUAGGAAUUUAAACUCUCAUCAUACAGGAACUCAUCAUGCAACAUUUUAAAGAUUUUCAAAGAUAAAAUUCUCCAGAAUUCUAGCAUCUCUAGGAACAGAUAAACAGCAGCUCAACCUUCCCAUAUCAUAUCCGUUAACAACUUAUACUUCAGAUCAAGUUUUCAUCCCACAAGUUUAGGUCUAGAGCAAGCUUUAAAUUAUAACAGUUAUAUCUAAACUUGAGAGAGAACUUAAAAUUUGCAAAUUAGGCAGAGCAACUAUUCAUCAUAUCCAUGCUUAAGUUUUAUUUAGAUACAGAUUAGCAUAGACACUUUAUUUAUUUAUUAAACACACUAAGUAAAAGACAUAUAUAAGCAUAAAAUUUUUAUUUGGUUUUCCCAUAGUUUAUGUGUAUUUUAAUAUUCUAAAAUAAUAUAAGUAUAAAGAUAGAUAGAUAGAAAUACUUAUCGUGAUAAAUGGGGGUGCUCUCCCCCAAGCUGAAUUUUGACGUAAUUUCUCUUGAUGUAGCUAGCAGGUGGCAGAGGUGUAGUUGAAAGUCAGCAGCAUUCUGACAGCGAUUAGAAUGUCCUCCGUCUGCCAGUCUUCUUGAUUUCUGUGGAGCUCAAAUAGACAACAAAGCUUGUGGAACUGAUUAAGUGUUAGCAUAAAUAUCUAGCCUUUAUUAUCUUGAGACUCCUUAAUAAAUGUUACUCCCUGUUUUUAUAUUUUUGUUUUAUAAAGCAGAAAAAUAUUUAUUUUAUUUUUAUGCCACCACAGUGAAUGUACUUAUGGGUUUUAUGCCACUCGUCUACUCACAUAGGGCUUACUGUUUUUUCAUAUUUUUAUUUUCUUUUUAAGAUAGUGUGAAUAUGAUUAACUAAGUAAACUAUUUGAAAUAACUGAAAGGGAAAGGAUAACUACCAAGUUUACCUCUUGGCAAGGCGUUCGGUGUUUUUAAGUCCUCCGAAUGGGACUCUCCAAUUUCUUAAUUGUCCUGAGGUUCGUUGGGUGGCGUAGUCGGUACUUCCGGCAGCGCCUCCUCUUCUUGUAUAGUUAUCUUCAUUUUCCAUACCUGACUCGGUGCUUCGAUCUCCUCUGGAUAAUUCUGUUUAAAUUCAACGUCUUCUGACCUUACAACUUCUCCUUCAUAGUCUGCCCAUCCGUCCUUGAUGAUCUGCCUCCUCUGGUUGCGGUUGCGUCUUUUUCUGACCUGCUUAGAUUCUUCAAUGAUAUAGUCAGGGUCAAUAAAAUAACGGCGUACCUUCUCUGAGGGGAAGUGCAUAUGGACUUCUCCGGUUCCAAUGUAGAUAAUUGCUUUAACGGUGCUGAGGAAGGGUCUUCCAAGGAUGAUGGGUGGAUCAUACUCAUCUUCUCCCAUGUCAACAACUUGAAAGUCUGUGUAGACAAAGUGAUCGUCUAUUUUGACUGGGACAUCAGAUACUAUUCCUUUAACUUCUCGAAAUGUCUGAUCUGCCAUCUGGAGCUGAAUGUAUGUUGGUCUUAGUGGCAUGGUCCCGAACAAGAGCCGAUAAGUGACUGCGGCCAUUAUGUUGACGCCCGAUCCGGUGUCGCAAAUCGUCUUGUAGAAGUUGUAUCCAUUUAUGGAGCAGUAGAUGCUUGGCAUUCCUGGGUCGUCCUUCUUGGUCAAAAAUGGUGACUUAAGUUGAUGAUCUUGGCCUCCAUGGACUACAGUGACCAUCUUAGCUGACUCGGUCCACACUUGCUUGUUCCUGUUCCUCCUGUUGGUCCUCUUCCUUGAUUCACGUCUGGAUUGAUCUUGAAUUUGUGUAGUCUUGUUCUUGAAGAAAAAUGUCUCCUUCUUCCCUUUGACGUAGAAACUGAUCUUGGCAGCACCAGCGUAGAUGAUAGCUCCCAUGGUGUUCAAGAAUGGCCUCCCUAGGAUGAUAGGUGCUCUCUCAUCAUUUCCGGUCUCUACCACUACGAAGUCUGCUGGGGCAUACAAGGUACCAACUCGGACACAAAGGUUCCUCACUAUUCCGUUUGGAAAAGUUAUCGUCUGAUCUGCAAACUGCAAACACAUGGUUGUCUCUAAUAAACGAUAUGUAAAGAAUUUCUCAUAGAGUACCCUGGGUAUAAUGUUGACACUGGAGCCAAAGUCGCAGAGUGCUUCUGGGACAUCCACCAUGCCGAUAGAGAUCGGGACGACGGGGCGUCCUGGAUCGCCUCUCUUGACCGGCAGACGGUCAGUAGAAAAUUCAGUGACGGGGUUACUCCAAUUACCUGCAUCAAACAUGUCUACAAGAUUUGCAGAUUCUAAUCCUUCCGGUUGUGAUGGUAUACCGGGGUUAGUAGCAGGAACAGCAGCAGCAAUUUGAUUUAACUGAGAUUCAAUCAUUUUAUUAAAGCUAAUUUGAUUCUUGAUGGCAGUAGAGAAAUUAUCCAUUCUAUUAUUUAUAUUUUCUAGCAUUUUAUCAUUAGAUGCCAAUUUCUUAGAUAGGUUAUCCAUUAGCUUUCCUUGAUUAGACACUAACUCUCUCAAAGGUGGAAAAUUAUUAUUAUUGUUGUAAGAAUUGUUACCUUGAUAAUUACCUGAGUAGUUAGGCCUCUGUUGAUUCCAACCUUGAUUUUGUUGAGGACGGUUGUAGUAGUUGUUGUUGUUGAUGUAGUUCACAUCCUCAAGCAUCUCAGGGCAGUGAUUGCCUGAGUGUCCAGUGUCUCCACACUCCUCACAAGUCAUGUGAGAGUCGUAGAUGUGCAUAACUUCUUUCUUGCCUCCAGCUCUAUCAUCGAGCUUCUUCAUGAGCAGGUCUAGCUUUGCAGACAGCAUGUCUACCUCCUUCAGCUGAUGCAUACCUCCACCUCUCUUGCGUGUCUGGCUCCUCUCUUCAUUCCAGCUUUGGUUGGACGCCAUCUUCUCCACAAGAGCUGUGGCUUGUGGUAUAGUAAGUGAUAAGAAUGCUCCUCCAGCUGCAGCAUCCAUGGUCUCUCGGGCACUGUUGCCGAGCCCAUGAUAAAACGUCUGCAUCAAUAGCCAACUCUCCAUUCCAUGAUGGGGACAUUCUAGGAUGUAGUCUUGAAAGCGCUCCCAUGCUUCUGGAACAGAUUCAUCAUUUUGUUGAUGAAAACUUGUAAUCUUCCCACGGAGAGCAUUGGUCUUGCCCAUGGGAAAGAACUUAGCCAGGAAGUUUGUUGAGCAGAGUGCCCACGUAGUAUUCUUCUCCUUUGUAGCGUAGAACCACUGCUUCGCUCUUCCUAACAGUGAGAAUGGGAAGAGGCGAAGUAGUAUAGCAUCUUUGGAAACUCCUGCUAUGGUGAAUGUGUUGCAAAUCUCCAGGAAGUGUUGUAAAUGAGCACUAGCAUCUUCGUGUGCCUUCCCACAGAACUGGUUGGAUUGCACCAUGUUAAUAAGUCCAGGCUUGAGCUCAAAGUUGUCGUCGAUCUCUGCAGCAGGUCCAGUGCGGAUGUUGUCCGUAGUGGGAGCUGAGAACUCGCGGAUCGAUUUGUUCGCCAUGGCUUCGAACUCUGAAGACAAGUUCCGGUGAUCUUCUUGAUUGGAUGAAGCUUCUUGCUGAAGUGUUGAUGAUUUCUUUAGCUUGGCUCUCGUCUUCUUGAAUAAUGCUUCGGGAUUGUCAACAAAAUUUCCUGGAAGAUGUCUUCUAUUCAUACAUUCCCCUACAUAAGAUAAAAUAGAAAAAUAUCGGGGUAAAACUGUAUGAGAGAAUAGAUAAGCUCAAUCAUAUUAGUGAUGCGAAUGAUAACUCAAAAUGUUUUAUUCCAUUCCUGAUUAGUAAUCAACCUUCCCCGGCAAUGGCGCCAAAAAAUGCUUGUUGGGUAUUCUUAACAUCAUUACUAAAAGUAGACUAAGUUCUCUAAAUCUAGUAACGGUGCCAAAAAUGCCAAACCUAUCCCUCACACCACUUAAGCCAAGUUGUCAUCCCCAGCAUGACAUGAGAGAUGCAGUAUUGAAAUAUGCAAUUGCUCUUCUAAAUAAAUAAUGAAUGGGAUCUGCAAGCGCAUAGAUUAAUACCGAUGCAGCAUUUUAACCGGGAAGUAUUCCAGGUAUCGUUAUUUAUAUUUUUACCACUGGGAAGGGAUUAGAAAUCAUCACUAAUGAUUACAGAAUAGAAUAUGAGAUUGAGCAUCUAUCAUUGCAUGUAUAAUUGAGAACAUUAUAUCUAACUCUUCAUACAGGGAUAAGUGUCACAUAAAAGAUAUAUGAAGUAAUGAUAGUGACAAGGAUAACUAAUCUGAUCUAGCCACAUAAUAAAUAUGAUAAGCACCUCAAUUAGAUACUCUAGAAAGUCAUUAGCAUGGUAUUAGAACAAACUACAAGAAUAUUCCCUAAGUUAUUCUUAACUAUAUAGUCUAGCAUUAUCAUAGUUAGUGCAAGCAUACUUAGCAAUCAUUGCGAGACAAGACUACGCCCAUGCAUAGUGAUAUUAGCAAGGAAUAUGAGAAACAUAGCAAUCACUCCCCUGUAAUAAUGUUGCUCUGCCAGCCCAAUACACGAGAGGGGAACUAUAUAAGAAUCAAUGAAGCUGUUACUAUCACGAACCACCCCACGAUCUGGCAUAUUGGGUACAAUCGCAGAUAAAUACGGUAUAAGCACCACGCCUACACAAUAUCUAUCAUUUACCCAUGGAUCCGAUGGAUAAACGCUAUACGAUCCUAAGCAUGUAUAUAGAUCGUAUCUAACUAAGCCAAGUACAUAACUAUGAUAAACUAAGAACAAUAUAUCUUGAAUAUAAGCAAGUAGAGCAAAGUCAUAAGCAAUAUAUUGAAGUAGAACAAAGUCAUAUUCAUAAUAUUGAAGAACAAAGAUAAUUAGAAAGCAAUUAGAAGCACAAUUAGAGAAUUACCAAGAAUCCUCCUGACAGAUCCGGAAACCAAUCGAAGAUUGACUCCUUCUAGUUCUAAUCCUAUGUAGCUAUGCUAAUCUAGAUGUCUAAUUGAUGUGGUGGCUCUAAUCUUGAUCAGAGGCUUCGUCUCCCUUGAUGGAACAAUGAAUUAGGGUUGAGAGGCUCUCUCCUUCAGGGGCCAGGGGGUCUGGUUUUAUAGUCCCUUCAAGUGAAUAUGGGCCCUUGGAUCAAACCGACAUAGAUUGUAUGGUUUAGAUUCAUCCUUUAGGUCGGUGGAGAUCUCCCGCAAAGCAGAGUCCUGAUUGGACUCAGGGGCAGGGCGGGCGCCCUGACCAACUGGGCGGCCGCCCAGGGUCUGGCCCCGUUUCGCCUCCGCUUCGGUCUCGUGGCUUCUGGAGUCUUCUAGAUGUAAGAUAAUUGCGCAGCACGUUAAUAUCUUUACGUAAUCCCGACAUGUGGGCCUUUCUUCCAUAUUUCCUGAUAACCCCCUACAGAAAUAGACAAACACCAAAACUCGUGGAAUUCUGUCAGAUAAAACCCUAAGUCUAGAUCUUGAUUUUAUUUGGAUCCUUUUCUUUAUUUAUUUGAUAAUUAAAUUUGAUACUUAAGGACCGUCAACAAGCACUUGUUUGAGCCCUUCUAGUCUUUGCCGAUUUGCCAGUUUGCUGUUACAACAACCAAGAUUUCAUGAGUAAAAGUAUGAAAGAAUGUUGAUGAAAUCUUGUUAAAAGAUAAAGGUUACCGAUGAGGUUCCCAUAGCAACCGAUGUAUCCUGAAAAGAUUAUGUGAGUAUGGGAUAGAAUCGGUAUAAACAAAGGAAAUCAAAAGUCUACCUUGAAAGCCUGCGCCAGGGUAGUAGCAGCAACUGAUGGGGACGUCUUUGACCGCUUGGUGGUUAUCUUCUUGAAGCGCACAUUCCGAUGAAUCAAAGCUGCCGGACUUGGUGCAUUGUGACCGAUCAGUUCGAUCGGUCUUCCACUUCUACAGACUGUCGGUGGUGGGUUGUCGAUUUGUUUGAAAAAGGGAGAAUAAGUUACCGAUAAGGUUAGAAGUAACAACAGAACUGAGAUGUCAGUCAAAAACUUACAGUGUUAUCGGGAACCUUAUAGUUGGAGCCGAUCAUGCCACGGUAUGUCAGAGCCGAUGCGCAGAACAGGUGUUCUUUCCAUUCUUCCCACCACUGUUUGUGCGCCUGAGUGAUCAAGAGGGCCGAGAUCCAAGCCGAUAGAUCGAUAUCUGACGUAUCGGCAUUUGGUUGAAGCUGAGCUAUCCUUAUCCACUCGAGCCCAUUAGUUAUAGUCUCCCUGGGUUUCACCACAUCGGCGUAACAGACUCUGAUCACCAGCUACCCAAAUGCCAGUUGAUGAGCUAAUGCCGAUGGAUUGUAAAACUCGUAAGUGGGGUUAGAGUUUUUCCCACUACCAAAGGUGUUUACUGGGAUAGCCCUCGAAGUGAUGAUUGCCAUCAUCAGAUCAUUAUCUUUAUUAGGAGCAUCAUCAAAGGGAUGGAAGAUGAGCGGAAAUCUGGUUUCUGGGUCUUCAUAAGGCAUCCAUACACGUUAAUCUUUGGGAAGACCCUAAUACAGAGUCUGGAAGAAUCAGCUGACCUGGUCUUCAUUACCACCAGUACCAGGUAGCUCUAUGGCGGCCUCACCGUAAUUCCAGGUGAGCGAGUUGCCGAUUCUUCGUCAGCCAGUUCAUGGUCUUCGGUGAUAUCUCUAUGGAAUUGUUGUGCAAAGAGGUCGAAGCAGAGACGUUUGUGCAUGUGGACGUUAAGCCACAUGUUGAUGAACCACCAAGGGCCUCCUAGGUUGCCGAUGGGUUGGCCUAAUAGGAGCUUCUCAGCCACUUGAUGGAGGAGGUGGUAGGCAGAACCAAGGAAGUAUCGACCGAGAGGAAAUCGGCUGCCAUCAGCCAGUCUUUCUGCUGCCAAUAAGUAGACAGAGGUUGGUCCUACCAAUCGGCCACAGAAGACGAACUUGUCUAACCACAUGUUUAGGAAAACUACAUGUUCUCUUUGACCGACUGGUCCCGUCCUCUGGUACUUCUGGAUGUACCCUGACCAACCGCCGAUGUUGAGGGUUUCUACUUUGCACUCGGGUUUGCUGUCGUAUAGAUGGCUAUCAUCAGCAGAUGAUAUGUCUAAGCCAGUGAGCAUGAGCACAUCGGCAAGAGUGGGGGAAGCAGGGCCAUGACCAAACAGAAAAGCAUUGAAAGUAUCUGACCAGAAGUAUGAAGCAACUAUCAAUAGCGAUUCAUUUCUUUCCAUAUCGGCAAUGGAUAACCUGAUACACUGGUCCAGUUUGUGCUCACCCCAUUGGACUUUGUUUGAGUUGCCAACUAUCAGGAACCAAUCUCUCCAUCCCUUAGUAGAACUGGGCCAAGAUCGGAAGGUAUCUUUCCAUAGAUCUGAGGAGAAAUUUUCAGCUCUAAAGGGGAUUCUAUUUAUCUCUGCGUUGAUCAGAUUGGUAGGAUCCGGGUUACCCAAUGGCCCGAGACAUUGAAAGUGGGGUUGAUCGGUGGGAAUCACAAUUUUAUCAGCGAAUUCCUAAAGGUUUGAAGGUUGGAAGAACAGAAAAAGGAAAAAGAAAGAAAGAACGUACUCAGUAAAUAGAUUUGCGGAAGUUAAAACUACAACAAGUAGACAGGGGAAAUUGACCUCAGGGACGGUGAAGUUCAUAGCCAUUUCUUCCAGGGAGGAAGAAGAUCAAUGAAGGACUGGCUGGGCUUGCUGACGUUCUCGGACUCCUCGAACAAUGCCGCCGUUAGGAAGAUGGGUUUUGAGGAUGCAGAAUGACAAGGUGGAGGAAGAGUGCCGAAGAAGGAAGUAUUUAUAGGAUAAAGAGAGCAGGGGUAUUUCUGACCUAUUCCUUUGCCGUAUCCAUGAAAAUCGAGGGUGUUCAGGUGGAUAUGGUAACUGUUCGCACGAUAAUCAAGGGAUUGUGUAGGUGAUUUGACAGUAAGCGGUCAUAAUUUUGGGAAGAUAUUUUACUGUGCAAGAUCUCCUGGUCGGUUCAUCGACAGUUCUCUCUAACGGAAACAUUGCCGAUGAACGAAUAUUUAGGAGAUUCGGUCUGAGGAGUUGAGAGAUUCGAGGUGCAUGCUGGAGAACCGGGCUAAGGUUGUUCGGAUUUGGUAAUUAAUUAUUGUCAGGUGGGAGUAAUCGCGGAAAGGCAUCAUUACUGAAGAGAAUUUUGGAGCAUUAAUGAUUUUAUACUCCGAAAUUGGGGGGCAUGUGUUGACACCGUUUUUAGACACGUAUCUUUGGACGCGUAUCUGAGAAUUAGUAAAAUAUAGAUCGGCAGGUGAAAGAGUGGUGAGUGUUUGUCAAGGAGGUUACCGAUGGGAAUUGAUGCCGAUAGAUAAAGAGCAGAAUGUGGCCAAGACUAGGGAUGGUGAUUGAUCUAUACCGAUGAUUGAUGCUUGCGAUUGCCGAUGUCGAUGGAAGGUGGUUUGCCGAUUGCCGAUGGCAACAGGGGGAGCGCAGGAGUUGCUGACAAGAUGGUGACGGUGUGUCGAUUGCUUGUAGUGGAUAGAUUAAUGUUUUGCAUAGCUGUUAGAGUUCGUUUUGUGUACGGAUUCCAUUCAAUUUUGAAUUAGAGUCCUAGUCGUGUUUGGUUGUAAUUCUUCUGGGCAGGGUAUAAAUGUAGACCCUGUAGCGGUGUAAUAGAUAUACACAAUCAAUCAAACACAAGUUUUUACAUCUAUCCCAGUAUCUACUUUUUUGAUGACUUCGUCAACUUGCAUAUUUUCUUUUUACUUACGAGUUCUUAGGAAUUCAUCGAGUCAAUCUCGGCGAGUUCUCAAGUUCUGCGUGAAUACCUCUUGGCCGUGACAUUCGGGCGCAUCGCUGUUGUCGGGACCAAAGUAUUCGUGUUAUCACCUUUAUCGAUUGUAAGGUCAAAUCGGCUGGCACGCCUUAACGUUGAAUCGGGUAUUAGCCCUUUGUGUUUGCAGAUCUACUUUUGCAUCAACAGGUCCCUUAUGAAAUGGUGCCUUAUGUCAAUGUGCUUGGUUCUUGAAUGUUGAAACAGAUUUUGUGUCAUCUUAAUUGCACUCUCAUUGUCACAUAGCAAAGGCACAUUCUUGAAUUUUAUUCCAAAGUCAUUCAAGGUAGCUUUCAUCCAAAGCAAUUGUGCACAACAACUACCGGCACUAAUGUAUUCGGCCUCAGCGGCUGAUAGUGCAACACUAUUUUGUUUCUUUGAUGACCAUGAAACUAGAGACAUUCCUAGCAAUUCACAAGUGCCACUUGUGCUCAUUCUAUCAAUCUUGCAUCCACCAUAAUCGGAGUCUAAAUAUCCAAUCAACUCAAAGUUAGACCCCUUGGGAUACUGUUGACACUUGCUAACACCACUUGAAGACUAGGUUGUCAUCCCCAGCAUGGCACCUUGUACUAUGGUAUUUAUACGCACACAGAUAAAUCCGCAAGUGCACGGAUACCGUUGUAGCUUUUACCCAGUUAAAGGUUUUAUCGUAUCCACAGGGAAACGGGAGAACUGAUCUACGCUCUAACUUAACCUAGAUAGAUAGGUAGGUGUAAAUAGGAAAGAUGAUAGGAUUGAAUAAGAACAAUAUUAAAGGUAAGAUAACAGUGAGUAAAUAUAGAGUAGAGCAAUCUAAUAUAUGGGCGAUGGUAGGAGAAUAGAGAGGAUAACUAUGGUUUCUCUACUUCAAAGGGGCAUGUCUUUGUCUGGGAUGUACCACGUGAUAAGAAUACACCACAAAGGAUGCUUAUCCAUAGGCCGAUAAACCCUACCCGUCCUGCUAACAGGAGGUGGACUACAGGGGACCAAUGUAACUAUCACCUACGCGGCCUACCACACGAUCCAGCUAGACAUGGGAUAUCCACAAGUAAUCUCAGGUCUAAGCACCAUGCUUACACCUAUACUACAACUCCACCUAUAGCGUCCUAUAGAUUAAAGUACUCAAAAGAGUUGUGAACCAGAACAUACAUGAAUAGUAAUUGCAUAAUGAAUUAGAAGUAGAUUACUAGAGUCAUCCCAUGAGCAAGCUUGAUUAGAGCUUGAUCAUGACGAAGUACAACUGGAGGAAGAACCGACAGGCCGGCCUCUCCUCCAAUCCUCGCUCGCUCUCCAUCUCGCUACUAUCUAGAUCUACUCUAGUUUAGAGAUGAGAGGAGAGCUCUCAUCUCCAAACCCUAGCUUUUGCUCUGUCUAUGAAUAAUGAAUAGGGAUCAAAGGGUGCCUCCUACAGGGGCCAGGGGGUCUGCUUAUAUAGUCCCCUCAAGUGAAUCUGGGCCGUCGGAUCAAACCAACAUUGAUUGAACGGUUAUCCUUGAUCCUUUCGGUCGGUGGAACGUAAUCCGCGAGAAGGGUACUAUUUGGACUCUGUUGCUGGGAGGGCGCCCAAGGGGGGAGGGCGAGCGCCCUGCCCCUGGGCUCGAUCGUCCUCCCUUUCAUUCCCGUGGCUUCUGGAGUCCUCUAGAUGAUUGAAAAUUGCACGGCACGUUUAUUUCUCUAUAUAAACCCGACAUGUGGGCCUUUCCUCCAUAUUUCCUGAUAACCCCCUGGAGAAAUAGACAAACACCAAAACUUAAGGAAUUCUGUCAGAUAAAACCCUAAGUCUAGUGCUGGUUGCAUUUGGAUCCUUUUCUUUAUUUAUUUGAUGAUUAUAUUUGGUACUUAAGGACCGUCAACAACUCCCCCAAGCUUACCUAUUGCUCGUCCCUGAGCAAGGAUGGACUCAAGAGUUUCUGCAGUGGUUUUAUGCCUUAAAAGGUACACAUGCAUUCAAACAAGAUCUCAUCUCUAGGUUAGGGUAAACUGUUAAGACUUAAAACUUACUCAUUUUACCUUUCACAAUGGGGCUAGCAACCGUCACUUAUGUCUUGAGUAGUUAAAAGAUAGAACGGUCAUGUCAAGCACCAUGUCUCUUGUUCUUUGAUCAACUAUAGCUCUAGAGUUUUUUGCAGAUUUUCAAAUAAAACUCAGAGAUUCCUAUAUGACUCUCUCAAUUCUCUCUUUUAUGGUAUUUCUGGAUCCUUACCAAGGCAGUGAUGAUAUAUGCCUUCUCUUAAAGUAUGUAGUAUUUGUGGCGUGAGGCAUAGUGAUAUUGCCUUCUCUCUCAUCCUACUCUAAUGAGGCUUUGAUAUCUGGAGCUCAUAGGUGGGAGACAGCUAAUACAUACUUACAAGACAUUUAUUGCAUAGUCAAACCAUGGAUCCAGAGAAACAAGUCAAUAAGUCAAAUCAAGAUGUGCAUGUGUGGCGAAUGAAUGGUGUAUGGUGAUGAUGGUGAUAACAAUGGUGAAAGUCUAAUUCUACUUUUGCUCUUUUGAGGGGAUACAUACCUUUCUUGCACUUUGAAGCUUUUUGAGGGGGGAAUGAGAUGCUCUAUAUUUUCUCUUUUUUUUUCUUUUCUCUCAGGUGGGUAUCUUGUACUCCUAAUUCUACUGUCGGACAAUGUCCAUUUUUACCUCUCGUCUCACUUUUUCUUUUCUUCGAGGUUUCGGGCACUUGCCCCUUUUUAUUUCCUCGUAUUCACUUUUUUUUUUCAGAGCACUCACCCUCUUGGAAUAAUGUAGCAAGUGGUAGUAACCAAAAUAUCUUGAGCAUUUAUUUCACGGGGAAUAACAGGGAUAGGAUAAUGUUUUUAGCUAUUCUCUCCUAGAUAGGAGUAAAAUAAUUUUGGGUGAAUCUGGAGAUGGAAAUGAGUGGAUGUAUGUGGAUGCGUACUUCCGGAGUAGAAGUAGCAUGUAUGAGUGAACGUGCAAGUGAAUCUUGAUUUUAACCGCAUGACAUGCUCCUAAUGGUCUACACAACUUGACCACACUCAAUUCUCAUAUGCAGUAAAAAGUAAAUGUAUGGUUCAUAGUCUAGCAAGGAUGUAUAAAUAGCUGUGGUAGGAUUUUAAACUCUCAUCAUACAGGAACUCAUCAUGCAACAUUUUAAAUAUUUUCAAAGAUAAAUUUCUCUAGAUUUCUAGCAUCUCUAGGAACAGAUAAAUAGCAGCUCAACCUUCCCAUAUCGUAUCCGUUAACGACUUAGACUUUAGAUCAAGUACUCUUCCCACAAGUUCAGGUUUAGAGCAAAUCUUAAUUCAUAACAGUCAUGCCUAAAAUUGGGAGAGAUUUCAAUUUUGAGAACUAGACAGAGCAACUAUUCAUCAUUUUCAUGUGAGAGCUUAUCAUGAGGGUUCAUAGCAAACUUUAUUUAUUUAUUUAUUUAGCAAAAUAAGCAAAGAUAUUUAUAUAAGCUCAAAAUCUUUAUUUAGAUUUUUAUGAUUAUGCAUCUUUUUAUUAUUUGAGUAAAGUAUAAAUAUGAGUAGAAACACUUAGCUGGAUAAAUGGGGGUGCUCUCCCCCAAGCUGGAUUUUGACGUAAUUUCUUCUGAUGUAGCUAGC